CCUACGGGUGGCAGCAGUGGGGAAUUUUGGACAAUGGGGGCAACCCUGAUCCAGCAAUGCCGCGUGAGUGAAGAAGGCCUUCGGGUUGUAAAGCUCUUUCGGCCGGGACGAAAUCGCUCUGGUGAAUAUCCAGGGUGGAUGACGGUACCGGAACAAGAAGCACCGGCUAACUACGUGCCAGCAGCCGCGGUAAUACGUAGGGUGCGAGCGUUAAUCGGAAUUACUGGGCGUAAAGCGUGCGCAGGCGGUUUUGUAAGUCAGACGUGAAAGCCCCGGGCUUAACCUGGGAAUUGCGUUUGAAACUGCAAGGCUAGAGUACGGCAGAGGGGGGUAGAAUUCCACGUGUAGCAGUGAAAUGCGUAGAUAUGUGGAGGAAUACCGAUGGCGAAGGCAGCCCCCUGGGCUAGUACUGACGCUCAUGCACGAAAGCGUGGGGAGCAAACAGGAUUAGAUACCCUUGUAGUC
Molecule: ribosomal RNA, 465 nt
Filed under: uncultured bacterium
Lineage: Bacteria
Description: bacterial SSU rRNA
Rfam family: Bacterial small subunit ribosomal RNA
Source: RNAcentral